This 468-nucleotide ribosomal RNA is filed under the name uncultured bacterium. RNAcentral describes it as "partial 16S ribosomal RNA". It matches the Rfam family "Bacterial small subunit ribosomal RNA", at positions 28 to 507 of the family's 1533-position model. The record is from RNAcentral.
GACGAACGCUGGCGGCGUGCUUAACACAUGCAAGUCGAACGGAAAGGCCCUGCUUUUGUGGGGUGCUCGAGUGGCGAACGGGUGAGUAACACGUGAGUAACCUGCCCUUGACUUUGGGAUAACUUCAGGAAACUGGGGCUAAUACCGGAUAGGAGCUCCUGCUGCAUGGUGGGGGUUGGAAAGUUUCGGCGGUUGGGGAUGGACUCGCGGCUUAUCAGCUUGUUGGUGGGGUAGUGGCUUACCAAGGCUUUGACGGGUAGCCGGCCUGAGAGGGUGACCGGCCACAUUGGGACUGAGAUACGGCCCAGACUCCUACGGGAGGCAGCAGUGGGGAAUAUUGCACAAUGGGCGGAAGCCUGAUGCAGCGACGCCGCGUGCGGGAUGACGGCCUUCGGGUUGUAAACCGCUUUCGCCUGUGACGAAGCGUGAGUGACGGUAAUGGGUAAAGAAGCAGCGGCUAACUACGCG